GCUUCUGGCUAUCAUUAGUUCUGAAUACUGUGGUUUUUGUUUUAGAAAAAAAUGGCUGUGAAUUUUGGUCUGUCUUUGAGAAUUACUUGGAUUUGUUGCCUGCUGAUUGUAGGGAUAACCUGUUAUCCUCCACCUAAAGGUGACUAUAGAUAUCUUCCCCAAAUUGCAACAAAGGGAACCGGCUCCUACGCCCC
Coregonus clupeaformis (lake whitefish) is the source of this 194-nucleotide long non-coding RNA. RefSeq lists it as uncharacterized. Lineage: Eukaryota; Metazoa; Chordata; Actinopteri; Salmoniformes; Salmonidae. The transcript has 3 exons. The record is from RefSeq and is a predicted model, not a curated record.